GAAACGCGCGGCCGCCCAGGGCUGCCAAUGCCCCGGCGGCGCUGUUCUGAACAAACUGUUUUGGCCAGCCUGUGAAAUCCCUGGAAAUUGACGAUUCCAGCAAAGCGUCGUGAACUGGGAAAGCACCAAGUGUUCUACUCAAAAGCCGCAAAGGGACAAAACAAGCUAGACCCGAGGCCCAGAUGAAGCGGAAGGAGGAGGCUUGCGAGAGGAAGUUCAAGGGGAAUUGGAGUUAUAGUGAGUGAAACAAGAUAAUUCCUGAAGAAGCAUACUUUGAAAAAAGUCUAAGGAUCACUUGUGAGAACUUUGAGAAGCAUCCAAAGAGAUUGAAGAAUUUUUUUGUUUUAGUAGCAAAAUCUUACUUAUUGUACAAUUAUUUAGAACUGUGAUAGAAGAGUUUUUAUUGUUGCCUUUCCUGACUUCAUUGCAUUUUAAAGGCAUUUUUAUUAAUAAAU
RNAcentral lists this long non-coding RNA (455 nucleotides) under Pan troglodytes (chimpanzee). RNAcentral describes it as "long non-coding RNA NONPTRT017497". Lineage: Eukaryota; Metazoa; Chordata; Mammalia; Primates; Hominidae. The record is from RNAcentral.